Molecule: long non-coding RNA, 254 nt
Filed under: Ananas comosus (pineapple)
Lineage: Eukaryota; Viridiplantae; Streptophyta; Magnoliopsida; Poales; Bromeliaceae
Description: long non-coding RNA (ACOM_LNC039758)
Source: RNAcentral
AAAUUUAAAAAUUAAAAAUUAAAAUUAAAUUAAGAUUUUUAAAUUUGAAAUUUAAAAUCUAAAUUUAAAUUUUGAUAUAUGAAAUAUAAAAUAUAAAAUAUAAAAUUUAAAUUUAUAAAUUAAAACUUGAAAUUUAAAUUUUAUAUUGAUAGGGUGAAGUCAAUUUUGGCAUCUUAGGUGAACCGGCAUUUCGAUUGUAUUAAAAUUACGGUAAAUUAAACAGUAAAAGUGAUUAGUGUUCGUCGAAAAUCACU